GGCUGGCUGGGCCCGCGGCGGCGGGGGGGUCCGGCGGGCUGGGUGCCCAGGGGCCGGGGCCGGGGCCGGGCGCCCGGAAGGG
RNAcentral lists this microRNA precursor (82 nucleotides) under Notamacropus eugenii (tammar wallaby). RNAcentral describes it as "miRNA (ENSMEUG00000018108.1)". The record is from RNAcentral. Lineage: Eukaryota; Metazoa; Chordata; Mammalia; Diprotodontia; Macropodidae.